UCCAUACAUAACUGUCCAAUACAUAAUUUGAAUACAAUUUUAAAGUAUCAUCUUACAAAAAUAUGAAUGUUGCAUUUCAAUCUGAUUAACGCACAUAUUGGAUUAUGAAGAGAUUAGAACCUUUUAGUUCCAGUUUUAUGUGAAAAGAUAUGGUUCUGAGAUUAUGUUGGAAGAUUCAUGCUAAUCUGUGUUGGCAAACAAACAACUUUCAAAAAUAAAGUAUAUAUCAGGCCCGUUUAGUAUGAAUUACCCAAUAAUAGGCAUUGAGUAGUUGGAAGGUAUGUUCUAAAAACUGAUAUUAGGGUUGAAAUUAUAUUAAUAUUAAUAAUAUUAGGUGCUGUAAUGUUCUUUUGUCAACCACUAUGGAGUUUUCCAAAGUAAUUAAUAAACAAAUGUACCUAUUUUUGGUAUGAAAUAAGUGUGCAAGACCUGCGUUGUAUGUACGUCCAAGUUAAACUCUAGGAGUCGACCGUGCGAAAGAUCCAAAAACGGCUCCUUAGGAGGACAAAAUAUGUGCCAACUGUUUAAAGGUUGUCCUGCCAAAGUUCAGUCAUUUUCCUCAGAAUGACUCUAUAUUUAUAUUAUCUCCCGUGUUCAUCGAUUUGUGCCUGUGAUGUUUGUCUGUAAAUAAAGUACAACAAAAUAGAGCACUGGCUGGAGAUUUUAUAAUAUCAGAACUUUUUUCCUUAUUCUGUUUAUUCUCUCUUCCAUUUUAGGUGUGAAUGAAGUUUUGGUAAACCCCCCCCCUCCUCAUCCUGGACCCAUCUGCUCUACCAGCUCUUUUCUGCACAUCAGUCAAAGCCUUUCACAGCUGCUGUCCAUGAUAUUCUGUAUAUAUUUCUAUUCUCUAAUAGAACUACAACACCUGUUUCACCCUGAGGAUGAGCUCAUCUUAAUGCUGUAUUUAUACCUCAUGCAUUCUUUUUGUGGAAAGACACAUCCUUUUUUGCUGAUCUUUAAGCAAAUAUUCCUUUCUCUAAAAACAGUGCUUUCUGUGUUUAUUCUGGUUAAAACUCCUGGCUUAAAUCCUUUCAGGCAACCCACAGAUUUUUCUCCAAAAAUGUGUAUGUAUAUUAUAAAGAGAAUUUGAUCAGGCCACAUGACAUUCCUCAGUGUAUUUUUGAUUUAAAGUUUAAGUCUUAGAUUUAAAGUAACAUGCUUCCCCUAGUGAAAAAUAAAUAUAAUUAAAUGUAUUUGAAAUGCAUUUAUUUCAUGCCAAGUAUACUACAAACACAUUUACAUAUUUAUAAACGUUAUAAUACCCUGCAGUUGCACCUUUAGUAUAAUAAAGUCUGCUAAAUUGGAACAACUAAUUUUGUACUAACGCACUGUGUGGAAGUAGUCCUGAAGUCUAACUGAAGAUAUACUUAGGUAGGCCUAUAUUUGAUUGUGCUCAAGUAGAACUAUUGCUUUAGGUACACUAUAUCGCGGAUUUAAAGAACUAUAUUAUUCAAAGAUCAUACAAUCCGCAUCAAUAGUGACAAUAAAACACAUUUUCGGCUUAAUAUGAUGAAAUGUGUGUUGUGCACAAGUACUAGUCCGAAUAAAGUUUAAUUACAAUGUUUAUAUCAGCAAGCCUUAAGUGAUGUGUCUGUAAAUAUGUUAAUAGAUUUGAACUAUACUUAGUAUGAAAUAAAUACAUUUUACUAGGGUCAAGAAAAGCGAUAUCGUCUAAAAACAAAUGAACGAGGUCCCAACACAAACCCAGAGAACAGUUUUGAUCAAGAUGACACCAACUGACCAGAUGUAGCACUUCAGAAGCUAAAACUAGGAUUGCCUCUCGACAACGUCUUCCUAUACGUUCCAUAUUUCAUUUGUAUCUAUUUGACUUUGGAUAUGUUAAAGCAAGGCGUUUUGCAACCAUUUUUAAAUGUGUUUUCGUUUGUUUAGUGUCCGUGUAUAAGUAAAGCUUCGGGGAAUGUACAUAUUCAAUCACUGUGAAAAACUGAAUUCCAUUAUGACCAAAUGUGUCACAUUUGCUCUUAUGUUUCUAUAUGCCAUCUCUUAGAAUGAGUUCUGUUCUUUUCUGGCACUUUCUAUUCUGGUUAUUUUCAGGACUGUGUGUAAAGAAAAGGGCACUCGUUGAUUUUUAAAUCAUUUCUACCCAUGAAUAAACCCUCUCUGUCUCCUUCAA
Long non-coding RNA from Sinocyclocheilus grahami, 2134 nucleotides. RefSeq lists it as uncharacterized. Lineage: Eukaryota; Metazoa; Chordata; Actinopteri; Cypriniformes; Cyprinidae. The transcript has 2 exons. The record is from RefSeq and is a predicted model, not a curated record.